This 2018-nucleotide long non-coding RNA is filed under the name Homo sapiens (human). RNAcentral's name for it is "HSALNT0390355". The record is from RNAcentral. Lineage: Eukaryota; Metazoa; Chordata; Mammalia; Primates; Hominidae.
CCACUCUUGGCAUCAGGUACCAGCUUGUUAGUUCCCAGGGCCAACCCUGUCUCUGCUCCACUCUAAACAAAGCCAUCUCAUUCAGGACAAGUAUACAUUUAGUCUCUGGUCAACAUGCCCUCAUUAGGAGAGGACUCUGUCUAUAUUUUUAAUUUUAGCUUAAAACCUUAGAUUUUCUCUCCUUAAGUAGAGAUGUUGGGUGUCAGAUUUCCACUGCCUUUCCCCACUUGAUUGCGCCAGAUUCAGCAAUUUGGGUCUAGCUGGGGUGGGUUUUGGAGAAAGAGGGAUGACAAGUCACCAUGUUCCAGACCCUAGACAAAUGGAAGAGAGUUGCACAUCACCAAGAAAAUUAGGAUUCCUUUUGCUUUGUGAAUUAAAGAAAUGAAUAAUUUAAUCCUCAAGAUUGUUCCGGCGAGGGAAAAGCAACGUCCCAGUUGCGGAGCCCUACAGCCUGUCGGUGUGUUACAUCAUCUGCACACAUAGGCGUUUCCAUGACAACCGCUUAUAGCUUCAUUUCCUGGAUCCCUCUAGGGGGUGUCACAGCCAGAUCCACCUGCUUUUCACCCUACCCUCGGUGGGGUCAUGAUGGAGCAGGAUUGUCGUCGCUGUUUUUUUCCUCCUUAAUCCUCAUCCACAAAAAGAAGACACAGUUCAGAGUCUGGCUCCCAACACUCUUAGCUUAUGAGCCACAUCACAAAGAAAAACACAUCCUCUUGACUAUAAUGUGAAAUGCUGAAUAUUAAUUGCUGGUAUUAUGCCUAUCUUUCUAGCUGGGUUCUGUCUUUUAACAAUUAUUCGGAUGGGCUACAGCCUUGCACUGCCAGGAGAUUCUUCUCCUUUGUUUAAUAGUUAGAAACCAAUUUUAUUAAAAAACGGUAAAGUUCACAAUGCUCCAUGUAAGUUCUUAGUAUUUGGAACUCUCCCCAAAUACAGAAUAUUAUCAGGAACAGAGAAACUGCAGACUCUCUUUGCUAAAUAUGAUGAACAUUUCUGCAUUUAAAAGAAAAAAAUAUUUUUCAUUUUAGCAAUAUUAAUGUUUCCUUAAUGAAACUGGAGAGGGUGUUACAAUUUGAUAUACUUGGUUAGUUUCAUUGUCACUUCACUAGCAAAUCAUGAGAAAGGUUCAGAAUAUUCUCAUCUAUCAGGUACAGAUUUUCACUCAAAAUUAAUAUGUAGAGUAAAAGGAUUUUUGUUCAAAUCUGAGGAUUUAACUGUAUCUUUAACGUUUCAUAUGUCAAGAUGAAAGUUUUUAAAUAACUAGUUUUCUGAAACCAUUUCUAUUAUUUCUAAUUUGAGAAUCAAUAUGAUCUUUUUAUUAGCCUUAAAUACCAUACAUCUGGGAAUGUCUGCAAAUUUAAGCUUUUCUGUGUUCUAAUCAAUUACCUUCAGUCUUGCAUAACUAAUCCUAUAAUCUCCAUAGAAGUUACUGCCCUGUAUGUUAGCAAUGAGGUUAUACUUUGUUUCAAUAUUUUGCUAGUUUGGUUGGAGAGCUGAAUCACGCAAUACCAAGAAAUGGUGGCAGAAGAGGUUUGGGGAGGCUGAGUUUCUUUUGAGAAAAUAAUUAUACUGAAACAAAGCUUUUGUGACUCCUUUUAAAUAGGGCAUCUCACCAAAAUGUCAUCCAGCCUCUUUGGCAGAUUAGUGGGGAGUUUAUUACUAAAUCUCUGUCUAAUAAAUGUGCAGUUGACUCUGGAGGAGCUGCUUGUUAUAAUACUGGCGGUGGGAAAUGGAGGGAAUGUCACAGUUAAAGACACAAAUUUUCCCCAUAAUAUAUUCAAAUGGAAACCUCUGAAUCCAAUACUACAUGGGCAUAUCUAAUAAAUUCACAAUAUUUCAGUUUCCGCAGCCUUCACCGGUUAGUUUUAAAGAUUUAUGUGGUAAAAAAUUACUCAGUGAUGAAUAUGGUUUAUUCUGUGCAGUAUUGGAGGUAUAAGGAAUUAAACUACCAUCUUUAACAGUGAAUUUAUUAUUACCUCUGUCAAAAGACGAAGACGUUAACAGCAUUUGUUAUAAAUUCA